GAUUCCAAAGCCAGUUGAGGUUGAACAGAUACCUGUGCCACCAUCAACAAGUGAAAAAGCUGUUAUCACUGCAGCUAUUCCAGAUAAAAAAGGUUCCGAUAAUUAUCUGGAGUUUGAUUUCUUUUAGAUGUUAUUGCUUGCAAUUUGCAAAUUGUUUUCAUUUAUGGGGGAAGAAGUGUCUGAAUCUCUCAGGGGUGGUUAGCGAUGGGGACAAAGCUUUUCUUUCUUUUUCCCUCUGAUUUU
Molecule: unclassified non-coding RNA, 243 nt
Filed under: Hevea brasiliensis (rubber tree)
Lineage: Eukaryota; Viridiplantae; Streptophyta; Magnoliopsida; Malpighiales; Euphorbiaceae
Source: RNAcentral